AAAGAGCUCGUAGGCGGUCUGUCGCGUCGGCUGUGAAAACUCAGGGCUCAACCCUGAGCCUGCAGUCGAUACGGGCAGACUAGAGUCCGGCAGGGGAGACUGGAAUUCCUGGUGUAGCGGUGAAAUGCGCAGAUAUCAGGAGGAACACCGGUGGCGAAGGCGGGUCUCUGGGCCGGAACUGACGCUGAGGAGCGAAAGCGUGGGGAGCGAACAGGAUUAGAUACCCUAGU
This 230-nucleotide ribosomal RNA is filed under the name uncultured bacterium. RNAcentral describes it as "partial 16S ribosomal RNA". It matches the Rfam family "Bacterial small subunit ribosomal RNA", at positions 562 to 791 of the family's 1533-position model. The record is from RNAcentral.